AUGGCGCCGCUGCUCUGGUUUCUGCUCCUCCUCCGAGUCGCCGCCCUGCCGGAAGACGCCGCCGCGCUCACCCGCCGUGACUUCCCUGACGGGUUUAUCUUCGGCGCAGGCACCUCGGCCUACCAGGUGGAAGGGGCGGCUGCAGAAGAUGGAAGGAAACCUAGCAUCUGGGACACCUUCACUCAUCAAGGUUAUUCUGCCGACAAGUCUACCGGGGAUGUUGCAGCGGAUCAGUAUCACCAUUACAAAGAUGAUGUGAAGCUUAUGUACGACCUGGGUCUAGAUGCGUACAGAUUCUCCAUCUCAUGGCCGCGGCUUAUCCCAGAUGGAAGAGGAGACAUCAAUCUGAAGGGCUUGAAGUACUACAACAACUUGAUAGAUGAAUUGAUACAGCAUGGCAUACAACCUCAUGUGACAAUCUACCAUUUCGAUCUCCCUCAGUCCCUUCAGGAUGAGUACAACGGGCUGCUCAGCCCCAGAUUCAUAGACGAUUACACCAUGUACGCGGACACCUGCUUCAAAAGCUUUGGGGACAGGGUGAAGCACUGGGUCACCAUCAACGAGCCCAACGUCGAAACUCUAGGCGGCUUUGACAGCGGCACUUGGCCACCGCGGCGUUGUUCUCAUCCUUUCGGCACAAACUGUACCGGAGGGAACUCCACGACGGAGCCGUACAUAGCUGCUCACCACCUCCUCCUAGCACAUGCCUCGGCAGUGUCCCUGUAUAGAAACAAGUACCAGGCAAGUCAAAAGGGGCAUAUAGGAAUUACUCUCUUGACCGGGUGGUAUGCGCCUGCUACCAAUGCAUCCCAGGAUGCUGUUGCUGCAACAAGGAUGAAUGACUUUCACAUUGGAUGGUUUAUGCAUCCUUUGGUGUAUGGGGACUACCCACCGGUAAUGAAGAUAAGGGUUGGUGCACGGUUGCCGAAUGUGACGGUGGAGCAGUCGAAGAAACUCUCCGGGUCAUUUGACUUCAUCGGCUUGAACCACUACGCUGUUUUUCCCACGGUGGCCGACGAGACCGCCUUCAAUCUGAAGCAGAGGGACUACUUCGCCGACGGAGGAGUUGCAAAUCCAACGAAAUACAUCCUAGAGGGCCAGAGUGAGUAUGCUCCUUGGGCUCUAGGGGAGCUACUGGAGCACGUAAAACUCAAGUAUGGAAACCCUGCAAUCAUGAUCCAUGAAAACGGAUACGGAGACGCCCCCAAAACCCCAGGCAAGAUCGAAUACGAUGACGAUAACAGAUCAAAGAUUCUGCAAAAUUACUUGGAAGUUCUCUACCUGUCCAUAAGGAACGGAUCAAAUGUGCAGGGAUACUUUGUGUGGUCGUUCGUUGAUGUGUUCGAGUUUCUGUUCGGCAACCGCAUGCGCUUCGGGCUGUGCGGUGUCGAUAUGAGCACGGCGGGGAGGAAGAGGUACGCGAGGAACUCUGCCCGCUGGUACUCCGGCUUCCUCAACGGUAGUGAGCUGCGGUCGGUGUCGCCAUUGAGCAAAGCCUACGGGGCCGCAUGA
RNAcentral lists this ribosomal RNA (1512 nucleotides) under Triticum aestivum (bread wheat). RNAcentral's name for it is "partial small subunit ribosomal RNA". Lineage: Eukaryota; Viridiplantae; Streptophyta; Magnoliopsida; Poales; Poaceae. The record is from RNAcentral.